RNAcentral lists this non-coding RNA (87 nucleotides) under Pseudomonas psychrophila. The record is from RNAcentral. Lineage: Bacteria; Pseudomonadati; Pseudomonadota; Gammaproteobacteria; Pseudomonadales; Pseudomonadaceae.
CGUUAUGGCGGCUGUGUGUGGGAGACCUUCGGGUCUGCCGGGGUCCUGUAUGCCCGGUCCGCUAACCUGCGCACAGCUGCCACCUAU